CACGUAGGGGGCAAGCGUUGUCCGGAUUUAUUGGGCGUAAAGAGCGUGUAGGCGGUCCUGUAAGUCCGCUGUGAAAGUCAAGGGCUCAACCCUUGAAUGCCGGUGGAUACUGCAGGACUAGAGUCCGGAAGAGGCGAGUGGAAUUCCUGGUGUAGCGGUGAAAUGCGCAGAUAUCAGGAGGAACACCGAUGGCGAAGGCAGCUCGCUGGGACGGUACUGACGCUGAGACGCGAAAGCGUGGGGAGCAAACAGG
Molecule: ribosomal RNA, 253 nt
Filed under: uncultured bacterium
Lineage: Bacteria
Description: partial 16S ribosomal RNA
Rfam family: Bacterial small subunit ribosomal RNA
Source: RNAcentral